ACGCGUGGAAUCUAGUUCAGGGUUCGGGACAACAGUUGGAAACGACUGCUAAUACCGGAUGUGCCYACGGGUGAAAGGCUUGCUGCCUGAAGAAGAGCUUGCGUCCGAUUAGCUAGUUGGUGAGGUAAAGGCUUACCAAGGCAUCGAUCGGUAGCUGGUCUGAGAGGAUGACCAGCCACACUGGGACUGAGACAAGGCCCAGACUCCUACGGGAGGCRGCAGUGGGGAAUUUUCCGCAAUGGGGGAAAGCCUGACGGAGSAAUACCGCGUGAGGGAAGAAGGCUCUUGGGUUGUAAACCUCUUUUCUCASGGAAUAAAAAAAUGAAGGUACCUGAGGAAUAAGCAUCGGCUAACUCCGUGCCAGCAGCCGCGGUAAUACGGAGGAUGCAAGCGUUAUCCGGAAUGAUUGGGCGUAAAGCGUCCGCAGGUGGUACAACAAGUCUAGUGUCAAAGACCGGGGCUUAACUCCGGGAUGGCGGUGGAAACUGUUGAACUAGAGGGUCGUAGGGGUAGAGGGAAUUCCCAGUGUAGCGGUGAAAUGCGUAGAGAUUGGGAAGAACAUCGGUGGCGAAGGCGCUCUACUGGACGGCAACUGACACUCAGGGACGAAAGCUAGGGAGCAAUGGGAUUAGAUACCCC
RNAcentral lists this ribosomal RNA (639 nucleotides) under Geitlerinema sp. WUC1512. RNAcentral's name for it is "bacterial SSU rRNA". The record is from RNAcentral. Lineage: Bacteria; Bacillati; Cyanobacteriota; Cyanophyceae; Geitlerinematales; Geitlerinemataceae.